This 253-nucleotide ribosomal RNA is filed under the name uncultured bacterium. RNAcentral's name for it is "partial 16S ribosomal RNA". It matches the Rfam family "Bacterial small subunit ribosomal RNA", at positions 524 to 776 of the family's 1533-position model. The record is from RNAcentral.
UACGUAGGGUGCAAGCGUUAUCCGGAUUCACUGGGCUUAAAGGGUGCGUAGGCGGGUUGGUAAGUCAGUGGUGAAAUCUCCAGGCUUAACUUGGAAACUGCCAUUGAUACUAUCAAUCUUGAAUACCGUGGAGGUCAGCGGAAUAUGUCAUGUAGCGGUGAAAUGCUUAGAUAUGACAUAGAACACCAAUAGCGAAGGCAGCUGGCUACACGAAUACUGACACUGAUGCACGAAAGCGUGGGGAUCAAACAGG